UUUUAAUCUAUUGGGUCUAAAUAUCACCCAAAAUAUUAUAAUCAGAUUAAGACAUUUUACUUGCAUUGUAUUUUUUAGAAAAAACUUCAAAUAUUACUCAUGUGGUUUUGCACAUUAGCACUUUAGUAUCCUGUGGUUUAAAAUGUAUCAAUUUAGUAACUUUGUGGUUUCAUUUUUCUUUUUUUAUUAUCACUUUACUAAUUUUUUUUGUUAAAUCAAUGACAAAGUUAAAACUAGAGAGUACUAAAGUGAAUAUUUGAUAAACCUAGGUAGGGUGUCUGAAGUCUUUUGUAUAUGAUUUAACGAGAUGUUUACGGAGGAGCCGACGAAAAGAGAAAAAUGAAAUCACAGGGUACUAAAUUAAUAUACUUUAAACAAUGAAGUACUAAAGCGAGAAAGUGCGAAACCACGGAGGUGGUAUUUGAAGUUAACACUUUUUUUUAUAUAUGACUAUUUUAAAUUCUAAAAAUGUCAUAUUCUUUCGCCCUUUACAUCCUAACAUUCUUAUUUGGCUCGAGUGACUUAGCCUUCUAUUCUGACUUUAACUUAUUCGAAGUUUAUCUUAUACUUUUGACUGAUGAUUUGUUCUGAUACCAAUUAUGAAAACGUCCUGCAUCUCAGGGAAUCAUCUGUUCUAGAACUAUUCUAACUCUAACACGCUUAAUCCUUAUAACUUUUUAUAUCUAGCCACGGUUUAAAAUAUUAUAAUCAAAUAAAGAGGUUUAAUUUAAUCCUAUUAUAUUUUAUAUAUAAAACUAUUUUAAAUUCUAGGAUCGUCACACUUUGUAUGUGAGUCAAAGUAAAAUCUAGUCGAAUUUAGUCGACUCAACUUGAGUUUCGAGUUUCGAGUUAGCGACUUUUAGUGCGAGUAUAUAGUGACUAAAUGCAGGGGAUUAACAAAGAGCAAAAGAGAGAAUGGAAGGUCCCUCAAAUAUCUCACAUGUAAGGGGGAGGUGAAUUGAAUUUCAAAUUAUUGCGAUUUAUUAAUUAAUGCAUGGUACUUUAAAAACAAAAAUUAUCUCCAACAAAUAAAUCACUUCGUCACAUUUGCUCCAAUUUCGCUAAAAGAAAAAUAAUGUAGCAGCUAAUUCAGUUGUCAUUAUAUCAUCAUCACCAAAAGAUGGCGAUGAUAAGAUAGAGCUCAUUGUUAUGGAAAAUAAUUCUAUAGAGGUAUGUGUCCGAAUGAGAGUUUUUUAAUAAUUUAUUGAAGCUAAAUGAAUUGGAGACACCUGAACUUUCAUCUAUUUAAAAAUAGGCAAGAAUACUUUAAAUUUUUUUUUAUUUUCUACCUAAACUUUUAAUGUUUUACAAUUAACCAUCUAACUUUUUAUCCUCUUAAUUUAAAGUGACUAAUUUUAGCUUAAUAUCCCAUUACAAGAAGUUUGCUAGAGAUAUGGAUAUCAGCAAGCAAGAAAGCGAAAGUUUGGAUGGUUCUGGUGGAUGCAAAUGAACCUGGGUUGGUGGAGCUCAUGUAGGGAUCCACCACGAUUGAGAUGGCAAGUGAGAACUAAAAUUAUAGAAAAAUAUAACCAGUUCCGAAUCGGUCCCGAGCCGCCGAGUGAAUAGAGUGGGAAGUAGGAGACCCCUAUCUUCUUUUGAUCCGCACCAUCUGCCAAAAUAUGUCAAAAAUCUGCUCUCAGCCCGAUCCGUCCCAAAUGAUGUAGUAAGUGCGAGCCAAAAAUAGCAUUGAAAUUAACUCAUUCGGACCCGAUGAUAAAUAAAAUGGGAGGUAGGGGACUCCUCUCGUCCCUAAAUCCGCUCUGUUUGUAUCCCUAAAGUAAAGAGUAUUCCUAUACUUUUUAUUUUUUGAUUUCGUUAAUUCAUUCUUCCUAUACGGCCCAGAUUUUUUUUUUUUUUUUUCUUUUGUGGCCUAUAAGAGCAGGUUAUUUGGAGAUGGGGUACUGAUUACUAGGUACUCUGAAGAGAAAUAUUUUGGUCUUUUAAAAUAGGGGUAAUUAAGUAAUUGUGCCUCCGCUCUCUCUUUCUCCAUUAUUUCUCUCCUCUCUCCGUGUCCCCUUUCUUUCUCUAUUUUUCCUCUCCAUUCUACUAUUAGGAUUUAGUUAUAUUUGUAGUUGAAUCCUAAUUGGAUUAUAAUUAAUAUUUAAAUCUGUUUGAGAUAAAUUAAGAUUUAAUAUGAAUCUAACAUAUUAGGAUAAAUAUUGAAAUUUAUUGGAGAUAAAUCAAAUAUAGAUUUAAAUGUUAUUUGGAGUAGGAAUCCUAAUUGGAUUAGGAUUCAGGUACGUUUUGAUAUAAGCUUCAUAAAUAGCUCCAUUGGUGGAGAGCUUAAAGAGUUGUACGGUGAAGUUGAGACUCUUGAGGAGGGUACGAUGAAAUGUCUUGAAGCCAUUAGUGGGCCGUACCAAAGAGAAGCUUGGCCAUGAGUUGUAUGCACCUAGUACACGGGUGGAUGUGAGAGAGAUAAGAGAGUUGUCAUUUAGUUGUCUUUUAGGUUUAUAAAAAACGAGAGAAGGGUAGGAGAGAUUCAAAAAGAGGGUUCGGGAUUGUAGCUACUCUAUACAGAAGAGGAGUCAUUUGUAAUCUUCUCUUAUUUAAUGAAUCUUAUUUUACACGCAAAUUUUCUUUUUUGGUUUUUCUCUCUUCUGUGAUUGUAUCAAUUUUUGCUGAGGAGACAGGUUUAUGGUAAAAAUCUGAUUCGACGCUUCCGUUGCGGAAUCACAACAAUUAGUAUUUGAUCAACAACAGUUGGUAUCGGAGCGGGUUGCAGAUUCACAAAAUCUAGUACCGGGGCGAGUACCGGAUUCCCAACAAUUGGUAUUAGAGUUUAAGGCUACCGAUCUGCGGGAGAGAUCGACGAAGAUUGCUACAAAAUUCAAAAUCGAGAAGUUCGACGACAAGAAUAAUUUCAGAUUGUAGUAGAUUAAAGUACAGACGAUCCUCGUACAACAAGAGUUUAAUGAGACGUUGAACGGGAAGGAGGCGAAGCCGGCGGAGGUCACGAAUGCGACAUAGAUGAAGAUAGAACAGAAGGCGUUGAGCACGCUUCAUCUGUCAUUAGCAGAUGAGGUUCUUUACAACGUAGCCAGCGAGACGACACCAGCGAAGUUGUGGAAGAAAUUAAAAGAUCUGUAUAUGACCAAAUUCUUGAGGAACAGGUUGUAUCUGAAGCAGUGACUGUUUACGCUGCGGAUGUAGGAAGCGGCGAGCCUUCAUGAGCAUCUUAACGAGUUCAAUAAGGUGGUGGCCCAGUUGACUAGCAUCGGAGUCAAUCUGGAUGGUAAGGAUAAGGUGCUGAUUUUACUAUCUUCACUACCGGCGACAUAUGAGUAUCUGGUGAUCACAUUGCUUUAUAGCAAGGAGACCAUAAGCGUGGAGGUGGUCAUGGCGGCAUUUCUCUUGAACGAGAUACGGAAGAUGACUCAGGAGUUCAGCACGCAAAGUCAGGAUGUAAGGCUGGUGGUGAGAGCGAAAAAAGAGGCGACAACAUCGGCGACCGGAUAUCGACAGAAGAAGCCGCUAUCUGAGGUCGAGUGCUUUUACUGUCAUAGGAAAUGGCAUAUUAAGCGCAAUUGUCGAAAACUUCAGGAUAAUCUGAAGGAGUUAAAGCGACAGAAGGAGAAAACUAUUGUGAAACAGGAUGAGACGGUAUCAGCGACGGCGUAGGCGACAGAGUCGAAGACGAUCGAUUCUGAUGUGCUGUAUGCGGCGACCGGAUGUGCUAAAAUUUCGGAUGACUCGUGGGUGCUUGAUUCGGCGUGUUCUUUUCACGUAUACCAGGAAAAGGAGUCUUUUGUCAUCUAUAAAGCGAUCAAGGGUGGAAAAGCUCUGAUGGGGAACGGAACAGCUUGCACACUUUUAGAAAUCGGCACGGUGAAGAUCCGAAUGCACGAUAGGGUCGUGAGGAUGCUGACAAGUGUGCGACAUGUUCCUAAUUUGAAGCGAAAUUUGAUCUCGUUAGGGACAUUGGACUCGAAGGGUUGCGAUUUUUCAGCUUCAGAUGGAGCUAUGAGGGUCCGAAAGAGAGAUCAGGUCGUGUGCGAGGCAAACAAACGCGGUAACUUAUACGUUCUGAACGGGAGUACAGUCGAAACGGGAGCGAAAAUGGUUUAGGUUCCAAAAGUUUACGGAGGUGCAGUCGCUCGAGGCAGAACGACGAAUGCGGCGACAUAGAGUGGAGACAAGCUCAAGAUGGAGCUUGCAUGGUGAGCUCGACGCAAGGGUUGAAAACUAUAAAUCCAACUAAGGUGGAGAAUGUUAGGAUUUGGUUAGAUUUGUAAUUGAAUCCUAUUAGGAUUAAUAUUUAAAUCUGUUAAAGAUAAAUUAAGAUUUAAAUAUUAAUUAGAGUAUGAAUCUAACUAGAUUAGGAUAAAUAUUUAAAUAUAUUAGAGAUAAAUCAAAUAUAGAUUUAAAUAUUAUUUGGAGUAGGAAUUUUAGUUGGAUUAGGAUUCGGGUAUAUUUUGAUGUAAACUUUAUAAAUAGCUCCAUUGGUGGAGAGCUUGAGGAGGGUAUAGUGAGGUGUCUUGAAGCCAUUGGUGGACCGUACCAAAGAGAAGGUUGGCCAUGAGUUGCAUGCACCUAGUGCAUGAGUGCAAGUGAGAGAGAAAGAGAGUUGUCUUUUAGGUUUAUAAAAGACGAGAGAAGAAUAAGAGAGAUUCACAAAGAGGGCUCGGGAUUGUAGCCACUCAGAAGAGAAGUCAGGUGUAAUCUUCUUUUAUUUAAUGAAUCGUAUUUUACCCGCAUUUUUUUUUUAGUUUUUCUCUCUUUUGUAAUUGUAUCAGUUUUUGCUGUGGAGACGGAUUUAAGAUAAAAACCCGAUUCGUUGCGGAAUCACAACAAUUGGUACCGCAUCAACAACAGUCGGUAUCAGAGCGGUUUACGGAUUCACAAAAUCCGAUACCGAGGCGAGUACCGGAUUCCCAACAUCUACAUAAUCACUGCCUCUCCAUUUCCCCAUUUUCUCAUUUCCUCUCUCUUUUCUCUCCGUUUAACCAAAAAUUAAAAAAAUAAAAUAAAAUAAAAAAAUCUCUGGAGGACAAUCCAAAUAGCAUUCUAAAAGGUGAUACAAUAUUGGGGCACCUCUGCAGCGUCGGCGCAGUCAAGGCCUUCUAGAGGAUUCUUUACGAGGGCUCCGGUCCGGUGGAGGCUUCAAAAUUAAUGUCUAAAUUAAUAAAGCUCUAAAAUUCCUUUUAUAUAUGAGCAAUGCUCUUAUGCACCGAACAAAUCUCAAUCAUUACGAUAGACCUAUAAAAAGAGGGUUGGCACUUGAGGGUAUAGGUACUGGUCACCACUUUAAUAAGGGCAAAAUUUUUUUUUAUUACAUGGAGUUUGCAAUAAGGGCAUUUUGGUAAAUUUUCAUCCUCGUAACAUGUCAUUUUUGUAAAUUUAGAAUAUUCCACCUUCCUUCAUUCUUAUCCUCUAAUAUUCCAUCGUUGUAUUAUUAUCUUUCCUAAAUUAAACCUCAUGUCUUUAAACCAUAGUUAGUUAAUUCGAGUACGAUAAAAAUUCGAUACGGAUAAAAUACGAAUAAAAUUCGUAACUUAAUUUUUAAGUUCGUUGAAAAAUACGGUUUAAAAAUUAGAUUCGCCAAUAAUUUGUAUACGCGAUUUAUACGAAAAUUUUACGUUUAUCAUUUAAAAAUUCGGAAUAAAAAUUCGUUUAUUUAAUUGAAAUUUUUUUAGAUUUAUGCUAUUAUCAUGCAUAAAUAAUUAUAAUUCUUAUAAAAUAUAAAAAUAAAAUUGGAUAUAUAUAUAUAUAUAUAUAUAUAUAUAUAUAUAUAUACACACACACACAAAAACAAUCAUGAGAAAAUAAAACUAUCGGAUUCAUUAAUUCCCACACUAUCACAAAUCCUCAAAGGGGAAUGAAGAGAUAGAACUAGUUAUAUAGAACGGUUAUGUAUUUGAUUUAUUUUUUGCAACUUAUUCUAGUUUAAUUAUAAAGUAAUUUUAGCUGGGUUUGCUGAACCAUUGACAAAUUCUACAUCCUUUUAUUAGUAACACCUACUGUGCAAGCUUACCUGUUUGGAUGAAAGGAAACAUAAUAACAGUGACAAAGAAUNCAUUGGAUCUACUCCUUGAUUACUAAUAGCCCUUGGAUCAAACACUAUUCCACCUACCACCACCGACCAUCAUCAUCUCAACCUCAUAUCUCUCUAUCCAAUGGCUAAAAUCUCAAAAGCACCACUCACAUAAUACUUUUACAAGUAUUCUAGCUUAACUCUAUAUAUAUAUAGAGCGAGAGGUCCACCGUGGACCUCUCACUCCACACAGUCCACGAGGCUGAGUGCAGCCUUAUGGACCGCAAUAUUUUCCUACACGUAGGCCGCAAUUUCUUCUUCCUCUAAUAUUUUUAAACUUUUUAAAUUAAUUGUUUUUGCUAUCGAACGAACAAUUUAAAUUAAUUUUAAAAAUAAAAGCCUUUAAUUUAAAUAAAAAAUAAAAGUUAUAUUUAUAAAUACAGCAUAAUUUAUAAUUUAAAUUAAAUUAUAUAUAUUUGAAAUUUCGUGUCAUUUUAAUAUAUCAAAUUAAACAAUUUGAAUUGAAAUAUACUAUUCAUUUAAACAUAAAUUUUUUCAUUCUGAAAUAAAAAUAAAAAUUAAAUUUGAAUUUAAUGACACAAUUAUAAAGUUUAAGCUCAAAUUGAAUUUUAAAUUCAAUUUAUAAAGGUUAUUACUUAUCAAAUUAGCACUAUCUAAUUUGGAAAGUAACAAAAUUAAACAAGGAAACAAAUAUUUGUAUAAAGUUGAUCAAAUUUGGUAAUUAGUUUGUAUUUUUUUCCCAUAUUAUCCUUACAAAUGGUAACCUGUUGAGCAGGUAACCACUAUGCAAAAGUCAAUCUUUUCCCUUAAAAUAUGAACGAUUAGAUUUAUUUUAUAUGGUGUAUUGAAGCAUUCCUCUAUAUAAUAUAUAUAUAUAUAUAUAUGAGAGAGAGAGAGAGAGAGAGAGAGAGAGAGAGAAGAGAGAGAGAGGAGAGAGAGAGAGCUAGCUGAUAUACUAUCGGUAGCACGUAUAUAUAUAUAUAUAUAUAUAUAUAUAGAGAGAGAGAGAGAGAGAGAGAGAGAGAGAGAGAGAGAGAGAGAGAGAGAGAGAGAGCUAGGCUGAUAUACUAUCGGUAGCACGAAGAUUUCCGUGCUACCAAGUUGUUUUCAAUGAUACGGCUUUUAAAUCGACAAUCGGCUUUGUUGGACUUGAUCUACACUAUUAAAAAUAUUUGGAAACUAAAUUUCAUAAUUUUUCGACAUCAUUUGACUAAUAAUAAAAAAGCUUCAAAAUUGACAAUUUUAAUGGUAGAUGUGAUGCGUUUGUGAAUUUAAUGAUGUAAAACAAUCCAAAUCUGAUGAAAGUUUUAUAGAAAAUUCUUUUUACUAUUUAGAGUAAGAUCAAUACUUCUGAUCUUAAAUUCAAGUCUUUUAUCAUUAUUUUUUAAGAGAUUUUUAUUUUCAGCUGUUCAUUUUAGACUACUUGUUUGAUAGGUAGAUGAUGCUGAAAAAUUAUGAAAUUUAGUUUUCAAACAUUUUCAAUAGUGUGGAUUAAGUCUAACGGAGCCGAUCGUCGAUUUAGAAGCCGCAUCAUUGAAAAUACAAAGAGGAUCGUACUCAUAAGAGUAUAGUAGCCGGACUCGAUAACUUGUUGGUCGUGAGCUAGCUCAAUAUUAUUCUUUAUUAAUCAAUAAU
RNAcentral lists this long non-coding RNA (7630 nucleotides) under Ananas comosus (pineapple). RNAcentral describes it as "long non-coding RNA (ACOM_LNC021536)". Lineage: Eukaryota; Viridiplantae; Streptophyta; Magnoliopsida; Poales; Bromeliaceae. The record is from RNAcentral.